RNAcentral lists this ribosomal RNA (490 nucleotides) under uncultured bacterium. RNAcentral describes it as "bacterial SSU rRNA". It matches the Rfam family "Bacterial small subunit ribosomal RNA", at positions 29 to 524 of the family's 1533-position model. The record is from RNAcentral.
AACGAACGCUGGCGGCGUGCCUAACACAUGCAAGUCGUGCGAGAAAGUUCCUUCGGGAGCGAGUAAAGCGGCGCACGGGUGAGUAACACGUAGGUAACCUGCCCCCCAGUCUGGAACAACUAGAGGAAACUCUAGCUAAUGCCGGAUGAGACCACGAUCCCUUCGGGGGUUGCGGCCAAAGAUGGCCUCUACUUGUAAGCUAUCGCUGAGGGAUGGGCCUGCGGGCCAUUAGCUUGUUGGUGAGGUAACGGCUCACCAAGGCUGUGAUGGCUAGCUGGUCUGAGAGGAUGACCAGCCACACUGGGACUGAGACACGGCCCAGACUCCUACGGGAGGCAGCAGUGGGAAUAUUGCGCAAUGGGCGAAAGCCUGAUCCAGCAAUGCCGCGUGAGUGAUGAAGGCCUUAGGGUUGUAAAGCUCUUUACCCGGAUGAUAAUGACAGUACCGGGAGAAUAAGCCCGGCUAACUCCGUGCCAGCAGCCGCGGUAAU